Molecule: transfer RNA, 76 nt
Filed under: Sulfuricella sp.
Lineage: Bacteria; Pseudomonadati; Pseudomonadota; Betaproteobacteria; Nitrosomonadales; Sulfuricellaceae
Also listed under: 2 other names
Description: tRNA-Glu
Rfam family: tRNA
About the family: Transfer RNA (tRNA) molecules are approximately 80 nucleotides in length. Their secondary structure includes four short double-helical elements and three loops (D, anti-codon, and T loops).
Source: RNAcentral
GUCCCUAUCGUCUAGAGGCCUAGGACACCGCCCUUUCACGGCGGUAACACGAGUUCGAAUCUCGUUGGGGACGCCA